RNAcentral lists this ribosomal RNA (275 nucleotides) under uncultured bacterium. RNAcentral's name for it is "partial 16S ribosomal RNA". It matches the Rfam family "Bacterial small subunit ribosomal RNA", at positions 338 to 630 of the family's 1533-position model. The record is from RNAcentral.
CCUACGGGUGGCUGCAGUUAGGAAUAUUGGACAAUGGGGGAAACCCUGAUCCAGCCAUGCCGCGUGUGUGAAGAAGGCCUUAGGGUUGUAAAGCACUUUCGGCUGUGAAGAUAAUGACAGUAGCAGAAGAAGAAGCUCCGGCUAAAUUCGUGCCAGCAGCCGCGGUAAUACGAAUGGAGCGAGCGUUGUUCGGAAUCACUGGGCGUAAAGGGUGCGCAGGCGGUUAUGAAAGUCAGAAGUGAAAUCCCAGGGCUUAACCCUGGAAUGGCUUUUGA